UGUUUGAGGAUGAUACGGAGUUGCAAAU
Molecule: small RNA, 28 nt
Filed under: Bombyx mori (domestic silkworm)
Lineage: Eukaryota; Metazoa; Arthropoda; Insecta; Lepidoptera; Bombycidae
Description: ovarian small RNA-36249
Source: RNAcentral